This 393-nucleotide ribosomal RNA is filed under the name uncultured bacterium. Its description in RNAcentral is "bacterial SSU rRNA". It matches the Rfam family "Bacterial small subunit ribosomal RNA", at positions 132 to 518 of the family's 1533-position model. The record is from RNAcentral.
AUAACUCAGGGAUAGCCUUUCGGAAAGAAAGAUUAAUACCUGAUAGUACUUUUCAAGGCAUCUUGGAAAAAGUUAAAGAUUUAUUGGUUAUGGAUGAGGAUGCGUUCCAUUAGAUAGUUGGUGAGGUAACGGCUCACCAAGUCUUCGAUGGAUAGGGGUUCUGAGAGGAAGGUCCCCCACAUUGGUACUGAGACACGGACCAAACUCCUACGGGAGGCAGCAGUGAGGAAUAUUGGUCAAUGGGCGAGAGCCUGAAACCAGCCAAGUAGCGUGAAGGAUGAAAGGUCCUAUGGAUUGUAAACUUCUUUUAAUAGUAGAAUAAAGUGAGACCACGUGUGGUUUUCUGUAUGUAUACUAUGAAUAAGGAUCGGCUAACUCCGUGCCAGCAGCUGC